This 543-nucleotide small RNA is filed under the name Arabidopsis thaliana (thale cress). Its description in RNAcentral is "ATSL187100". Lineage: Eukaryota; Viridiplantae; Streptophyta; Magnoliopsida; Brassicales; Brassicaceae. The record is from RNAcentral.
UUGUUGAUUCUGAAAAUCACACAAUAAAUUUGUUUAAAGGGGGUAAACAAAUUUACUUAACUCUCUCUCGCUAUUUAGUGACCAAAGAUUCAAUGAAAAGAAGAACAACGUUGCUUAGAGACAAAGUUAGGGUUUUGCCCAAAAACAAUGAAGAGGGUUUUUAGUAUUAAAUUUCGGAUCCCCCGAAUAGAGGACAAACCCCUCUAUUUAUACACUAUUAAGACGGUUAAAAGAUUUGUUAAACUUCUAUUUCUUCGAGGAUUGAAUCUUCUAAUUUCCUUUAUCUCCAAAGACUUCCUAUUUUCAAAGGAGAAAACUUCUUUUUCUUCGAAUUAGGAAGUCGGCUAGACGGUCUCCCUACUUCGGGCUAAAGUCGGCAAAUGACCUCCUUAUUUUGGCCCAUUAACAAGCUAAACCGGGAUAUCCCGGUUUGAUUGAAAUCUCAGUCUAAUUCGUAGUUCUUCUGGUUUAAGCCGGUAUUGUCGGAGGUGCUAAUUCCGGCACCAACAAUGUUUUAACGUGGCAGGACAGAUAUAUAAGUUA